AUAAAACUAAUUGACUUCCAAAGUCUUGUUUCUCCUCUAAAAUAAAUAAAGUCGGAUGAAACAGCCAUUGACAUCGGCACAAAAAUCAGAUUCUGAGGAACGAAAGAUGCUCUACAAGAAAUCAGCGGUGCAUUUGAUACUAGUCCUACUGCUAUCAUUUUCUCUACUCUGGCCUCCAUCUUCCACAACAAACACUCACUUAACCGGUAAGUUGAAUUACAACUAUAUAUAAAACUUGUUCUUCAUUACUUAUUUUUAUGAUCUUUUUUUUAUUGAAUAUGUUGUGUUGGUAUUUCGGGUUAAAAUUGCAGUGAAGGAGAGGAAUGAAGUGAUACAGAGAAAUCUAGCAUCAGGAAAACCACCUUCAUGUCCUCCACAUGCUUUUUUUUGUCAUGCUAAAAGUAAUUUUGCUCCUCCUCGUGAUCAUGGUAAGUAAGUAGUGCCCUCAUCCUUCACGCUGUAACCCAAAUUAAUGGUUAUUAUUCAUCAUAGCUUGUGAUAUUGUAUUCUUAUGUUUUUCAUAUUUCCCGUUUUGCUUAAAAGGCUUUAUAUAUUUCAAAUAAAUUUAGGAGUUUAAAAUUUUAUAUGAUGUGUAUUUUAAUAUAUUCAUGUAUUUGUAUUAUGUUUAAAAUAUUUAAUGAUUGUAGUGUAUGAAUAUGAGGUUUAAAGGCUUCAACCUUAAUAUUUAUAUGUGUUCAAUUAAUUUCCAAAAUAUGCAUUUUGGAUUA
This 728-nucleotide long non-coding RNA is filed under the name Gossypium raimondii (Peruvian cotton). RNAcentral's name for it is "long non-coding RNA (GRAI_LNC009150)". Lineage: Eukaryota; Viridiplantae; Streptophyta; Magnoliopsida; Malvales; Malvaceae. The record is from RNAcentral.